Molecule: ribosomal RNA, 253 nt
Filed under: uncultured bacterium
Lineage: Bacteria
Description: partial 16S ribosomal RNA
Rfam family: Bacterial small subunit ribosomal RNA
Source: RNAcentral
UACGUAGGGUCCGAGCGUUGUCCGGAAUUACUGGGCGUAAAGAGCUCGUAGGUGGUUUGUCGCGUUGUUCGUGAAAACCGGGGGCUUAACCCUCGGCGUGCGGGCGAUACGGGCAGACUGGAGUACUGCAGGGGAGACUGGAAUUCCUGGUGUAGCGGUGGAAUGCGCAGAUAUCAGGAGGAACACCGGUGGCGAAGGCGGGUCUCUGGGCAGUAACUGACGCUGAGGAGCGAAAGCGUGGGGAGCGAACAGG